Molecule: small RNA, 311 nt
Filed under: Otolemur garnettii (small-eared galago)
Lineage: Eukaryota; Metazoa; Chordata; Mammalia; Primates; Galagidae
Description: Metazoan signal recognition particle RNA (ENSOGAG00000031946.1)
Source: RNAcentral
GCCGGGUGUUGUGGCGGGCGCCUGUGGUCCCAGCUACUUGGGAGGCGGAGGCAGGAGACUUACUUGAGCCCAGGAGUUAGAGGUUGCUGUGAGCUGAGAUGCCACGGCACUCUACCCGGGGGACAGCUUGAGGCUCCUGUCUCAAAAAAAAAAAAAGAAACUUUAUUAAAGGACAAAGUUAUAGUCUCAUACACUAUUGAAGGGACCAUACACUUUAUUUGUUUAUUCAUUUAUUUUUGAGACAGAGUCUCAAGCUGUUACCCUGGGUAGAGGGUUGUGGCAUCAUAGCUCACAGCAACCUCAAACUCUUG